GUUAGUAGGGAGGCGGGGCUUAUUUCAUACACGGUUAGUAGUGGUGUUGCGUCCCUUUAUAUUCCAUAUUAGGUUAGAAAGGAGGCGGGCUUAUUUCAUACACGGUUAGUAGUGGUGUUACGUCCCUUUAUAAAAACAAAACGGUACUGAGAAAAAAAUCUAAAAGGUUCCAACAGACGAAGAAAUUGAAGAUUAAGAUUGAAAUUAAUUCAUAAAACACAUUUAAA
This 227-nucleotide long non-coding RNA is filed under the name Mytilus galloprovincialis (Mediterranean mussel). Lineage: Eukaryota; Metazoa; Mollusca; Bivalvia; Mytilida; Mytilidae. The record is from RNAcentral.